This 521-nucleotide long non-coding RNA is filed under the name Brassica napus (rape). RNAcentral describes it as "long non-coding RNA (BNAP_LNC001789)". The record is from RNAcentral. Lineage: Eukaryota; Viridiplantae; Streptophyta; Magnoliopsida; Brassicales; Brassicaceae.
UUAAAGACAGAAUUUGGAACUCCAGAUGCCCUCCAAAUUUGCUUCACAUAUAGGCAAUCAAAAAACAGAUGUGCUUCUGUUUCUUCUUCCAUGAAGCAUCGUUUACAUACCGUAUCCGUUGUAAUUUUCUUAGUUUCAUCAGUCUCCUUGUGCGGAGCUUUAGUAUCAGGAGAUAACGUAUUAUCUGCCUGCUUCGCUUCUCAAUAUUUUGAGCAGUUUGGAUUGUAUGUUUGCCAUUCCUGUUGUGAGAUCUAAACGUGCUUAAUGAAAGUAUUGUUCAGUAUUGUUCAAUAUUUUUUUAAAAUCCAGACAUCAACCACUCGAAAUUACAUCCAUUCCAUUAGAAAUAAGUUGUCAGUCAAAAAAAAGUUAUAAAUAGAAGUAUUAGAUCAAAACCAUCAAUAACUACUGUUCUAGAGAAAGUAUAAUAUGAUAAGAUAAGGCCACUUUGUCUGAUACAACACCAAACAAUCAUGAGUUAACGAAAAACUAAAACCACAGCGAAUCAUAAAAUACCAGUA